CAACCCUCAAGCCUUGCUUGGUGUUGGGUGCCACCUGCCACAGGGUGCACCUCAAAAUCAGUGGCGGUGCGGCCUGGCUUCAAGCGUAGUAACUCUUCUCGCUCCGGAGCCCAGGCGGCAUACCUGCCAACAACCUCAAACACAUCAAA
RNAcentral lists this unclassified non-coding RNA (149 nucleotides) under uncultured Microglossum. Its description in RNAcentral is "sequence contains ITS2". The record is from RNAcentral. Lineage: Eukaryota; Fungi; Ascomycota; Leotiomycetes; Myxotrichaceae.